CGGGGGGAGCAAGCGUUGUUCGGAUUUACUGGGCGUAAAGGGCGCGUAGGCGGCCUCUGCAAGUCGACUGUGAAAUCUCCGGGCUUAACCCGGAAAGGUCAGCCGAUACUGCAGGGCUAGAGUGCAGAAGGGGCAACUGGAAUUCUCGGUGUAGCGGUGAAAUGCGUAGAUAUCGAGAGGAACACCUGCGGCGAAGGCGGGUUGCUGGGCUGACACUGACGCUGAGGCGCGAAAGCUAGGGGAGCGAACGGGAUCAGAUACCCCGGUAGUCCUAGCCUUAAACGAUGAAUGCUUGGUGUCUGGGGUUUUAUAGUCCCCGGGUGCCGUCGCUAACGCUUUAAGCAUUCCGCCUGGGGAGUACGGUCGCAAGACUG
This 374-nucleotide ribosomal RNA is filed under the name uncultured organism. RNAcentral's name for it is "bacterial SSU rRNA". It matches the Rfam family "Bacterial small subunit ribosomal RNA", at positions 526 to 896 of the family's 1533-position model. The record is from RNAcentral.